This is a small nuclear RNA of Lycium ferocissimum, 107 nucleotides long. The record is from RefSeq and is a predicted model, not a curated record. Lineage: Eukaryota; Viridiplantae; Streptophyta; Magnoliopsida; Solanales; Solanaceae.
AGUAAUUUUCUUUCAUUUGUAGAGAAAGAAGGAACGAUACAGAGAAUAUUAGCAUGACACCUGCAUUAGGAUGGCACGCACAAAUCACAGAGAAAGAAGAUAGAGCU